UGUAAUUUCAAUGAGGAGGCAUAUAUGUCAACUAUGGGUGUUGGCUCCAACAAUUCUCAUUGGUCUCAAACCAAUGAGAUGCAUUUCGAUGAUCAUGAGUUUGGGGUGGAUGAAGAUGGUGAGGGCAUCGUCGUUGCACCAAAAGAAAGAGGGGGCAACUACACCAUGGACGAAGACAUCUUGCUAUGCAAUAUUUGGUUGCAAGUGUCGAGGGAUCCCUCCGUUGGAGGGGAUCAAAGUAGAGAUGCAUACUGA
RNAcentral lists this ribosomal RNA (255 nucleotides) under Triticum aestivum (bread wheat). RNAcentral describes it as "partial small subunit ribosomal RNA". Lineage: Eukaryota; Viridiplantae; Streptophyta; Magnoliopsida; Poales; Poaceae. The record is from RNAcentral.